AUACGUAGGUGACAAGCGUUAUCCGGAUUUACUGGGCGUAAAGGGCGUGUAAGCGGUCUUGCAAGUCAGAAGUGAAAUUCCUGAGCUCAACUCGGGCGCUGCUUCUGAAACUGCAGGACUUGAGUGCUGGAGGGGCAAUCGGAAUUCCUAGUGUAGCGGUGAAAUGCGUAGAUAUUAGGAGGAACACCAGUGGCGAAGGCGGAUUGCUGGACAGCAACUGACGGUGAGGCGCGAAAGUGUGGGGAGCAAACAGGAUUAGAUACCCUGGUAGUCCACACUGUAAACGAUGAAUACUAGGUGUGCGGGGACUGACCCCCUGCGUGCCGGCGUUAACACAAUAAGUAUUCCACCUGGGGAGUACGAUCGCAAGGUUGAAACUCAAAGGAAUCGACGGGG
This 396-nucleotide ribosomal RNA is filed under the name uncultured bacterium. Its description in RNAcentral is "partial 16S ribosomal RNA". It matches the Rfam family "Bacterial small subunit ribosomal RNA", at positions 523 to 918 of the family's 1533-position model. The record is from RNAcentral.